GGCCGCGGGGGCGGGGCUGCAAGCAGUAGGGGGCGAGCCUUCGCCCGGCUGAGGGGCCGGGUACUGCGUGCCCGGAAAGGUGGUCCGGGCCUCGAAGAGAGCUUUCGGAGGGAGGGCCGUCGGGCCAGCCGCUGUGUUCGGCUUCUUACUCAAUAAUAAUAAUUAACAAGUCUACACUUCCACGUUCUCUUGCUCGUGUAGUGCCAGGCACUGUUAGAGACUUUGAAUAAUAAUGCAAGUACUUAUUGUAAACAUGAUGUUUAUGGUGACUGAUACGUGCUAGGCACUAUGACAGAUCGUAAAUGAUAAUUAUAAAUAUAAUAAACUACCAAAUUAUUAUUUACUUAUUUUUUUGCCACUCUGGUGAUGCUUUCAAUAACAACAAACAACUGUCAUAAAUAAAAGCUGCUCCACAUUAAAUCUUUGCCAUGCAACCAGCACUGUCCUGGAUCCUUCGCUAAUAGACACCAUUUAUUCAUGCAACAAAGGCUACAGAAUACAAUGAUGAGAAAAAUUUACCUUAUUCCACCUUCCUGCUAGAAUCGAGUGAAGAGACAUCCUUUGAGUAAGUAACCACACAGAUACUGAGGCUGGCUUGCUAGAGCAGCAAUUCAUUCCCUCACCACAGUGAGGACGGCACUGUGCAGUCUCCUCCCGUUGUUUACUUUUCAAGAGUCAGACAGCAAUCUCAUCAUCAUUCCUUCAGGCCCUCUGCCAUGCUGCCCUGCUUUGGAGCUAGCUGACAAUGGACUGAAAUCUCUACAAACUGGAAUGAUGCUCCGUCCUUUUGGGGUUGGUCUCUCCCGCUGGCACCCUAGGCUCUCAGCAGUGACAGCUGGGUGGGGGAAGUUCAAGAUCUUCAGGACAUGCAGAGCCUCCACCACCAUUUGCAGUGUGUAGAAAAAGGACCGACUUCCUACAAGAAAUGUGUUGUUUUGUCCACUUGGUUACGAGAGUCACUACCGUAGCUGGCGCCCUGGGUGUGUUCACAUGGGACACAGACACCUUCACACUCUGUGCUGAGAAGCCCCCACACUCCCAUCUCAGACCUUCCCACCCGCCUUCAGAGUCUCGACUCUGUUCCGGAUCACCCACUGCCCAGGAAAUGUGCUCACCUCUGUUCCUGGGUGUCUCCCGGACACAGCCAAAUGUACUGCUUGGGAUUCUGACUCAGUGUGAGUUCCAUUUGUAUCGGAAUUAUGCAACCCAUCCAAUUAAAUUUUGGGUCAGAUUUUCAGCAAGUUUGAAAAUCUAUAGUUACAAGAAAUAAAUGAUUGUUUGAGGAAUCUGUAGACUCUCUGAUCUUCAGAGUUUAAAGAUUGGAGCAUGUCAUUGGUGUUCCGUAAUAGCUCCCCUGGACUCAGAAGCAGCUGUCCAGCCCACAGUUCUGCAACCCUUACCACUCCAGCAGGGCCUCUGCACCCAGCACUUCCCAGGCAGGUAAUAAAGCAGUGAUGUCAGUACAUGCCACGGGUAAUCUGGAACUAAUGGUGUAUGGCAAACUGGCUUGCUAGGGACUAGGAAAUAACUCAGAUUUUUAGUUUUUGCAGAUUACUACAGCAUAAGCAUUCCCAUCAGCUGGGCAUUGUGGUGCAUGCCUAUA
Molecule: non-coding RNA, 1603 nt
Organism: Heterocephalus glaber (naked mole-rat)
Lineage: Eukaryota; Metazoa; Chordata; Mammalia; Rodentia; Bathyergidae
Source: RefSeq, a predicted model, not a curated record